This 541-nucleotide ribosomal RNA is filed under the name uncultured bacterium. Its description in RNAcentral is "bacterial SSU rRNA". It matches the Rfam family "Bacterial small subunit ribosomal RNA", at positions 345 to 879 of the family's 1533-position model. The record is from RNAcentral.
GAGGCAGCAGUAGGGAAUCUUCCGCAAUGGACAAAGUCUGACGGAGCAACGCCGCGUGAGUGAUGAAGGUUUUCGGAUCGUAAAGCUCUGUUGUUAGGGAAGAACAAGUACCGUUCGAAUAGGGCGGUACCUUGACGGUACCUAACCAGAAAGCCACGGCUAACUACGUGCCAGCAGCCGCGGUAAUACGUAGGAGGCAAGCGUUGUCCGGAAUUAUUGGGCGUAAAGCGCGCGCAGGCGGUUUCUUAAGUCUGAUGUGAAAGCCCACGGCUCAACCGUGGAGGGUCAUUGGAAACUGGGAAACUUGAGUGCAGAAGAGGAGAGUGGAAUUCCACGUGUAGCGGUGAAAUGCGUAGAUAUGUGGAGGAACACCAGUGGCGAAGGCGACUCUCUGGUCUGUAACUGACGCUGAGGCGCGAAAGCGUGGGGAGCAAACAGGAUUAGAUACCCUGGUAGUCCACGCCGUAAACGAUGAGUGCUAGGUGUCGGGGGGUACCACCCUCGGUGCUGCAGCUAACGCAUUAAGCACUCCGCCUGGGGA